GAAAACAAGAGCGAGUUAUUGGUUUACUGGGAUUCACGAUUUUCCAAUGAGAGAGAAUUCCAUUCCCAGUGCCCAUGAGCUUCCGUGCGACGCGAAGAAGACUUGCAGGGCACAAAUUCAGAAAAACAAACUGAAAUUUAAAACGGGGCAGAUGCUGAGAUGACACUGAUUUUCUUGAAGCUUUUGUAGCCCUGGAAUAUACGUACAGGUUUCUAUUGGCAUGCCUGAUUUAUCUUAAUGGAACUUAUGCUUGCUCUUUAUUUCUCCUUCAAAUCAAUAGCUAUUCUGUAGAUACCUCUACAUUUUGUACAAGAUAGAGCAAAAUUUUGGAAUAUGAUUCACCCGGGUACUACAACUUUACUAAACACUAGUUUUGAACACCUUACGGCUUUACAGUUAUAUAGAGAUACUGUUGGGAAUUCCCUUGCCAGUAAGUCCACCCUCUCUAGAGUCAUCUGUGGUGUUAGGGAAAAGCAAGGUAUAAGGCACCUUGACAGGCCCAAGUCUAUUCCUCCAUUUCUCGUCGUUGUUCAUAUCUAUAAUUUUCUUUUCAAUUUCUUUCAGCCUUUUUGCAAAUCUUUCAAAUGCUGCUAGUGGUUCAGGAUCUGAAGUCCAUUCAGUAAUAUCUCUCUGCCCAAGGUAGACCUCAUCAGUUGAAUGCCUUGAUAAAAUCUCAAUGAGGGAUACACCAAGGAGGGUUUGUAGCUGGGCUGUGAUUGUUUUCAGGAAGGCAAGGUCUGGAUCUCUCUCCAGUUCUGCAUAAUCAGGGGUGCCUGGCUCAGGCAUGAAACGGCGACUUACUGUUGGACGGUUAGGGAGGUAGCCAGCAUAAGGAUAUUGCCCAAAAUUGACAGCUGCAUGGAGGGCUGAAGCUAUCCAUAUGAUAAUAGUGCAUGUUUGUGUAAGAUCAGCUUGUGUCUGCAUUUCAGGCCACCAUGGUUCAUCUUUCUUGUCACCAUGGCCAACAUUGCGAAUCUCUGUCCACCAUGAUUGCAGUUCAUUAUCAUUUCGAACAAGUUCAUUUGUUGGGUAGUAGAAAGCACAAUAUUCCUCAACCCAAGUUUUGAUUGCAGACCAGAUUUCUAAACCAUCAACAGCAUAAGGGUAAUCUUCUAUCAGAAGUCUGAGACCAUGCGACUGCCUUGAAUCUGGAACUGCUACUCCUCUGAAAUGUAGCAGAACUAGGAUGAAUUUUUGUUUCUCCAGAGAUCAAAAGAUUGGAUAAAAGGCCAUUAUACAGUUUAAGGUUCUGUUAUUUACCUCUUGAGCAGAUCAGCAGGGAGUGCCUGCUCAGGGAAAACCCAAUUCUUGUAAACAACAGCAGACAGUUCCAUGGCAUAUUUGGCUGGGAAGACAGUAUUCUCGAGUACCCCUCCAGCAUUGAUCAGAAUCUGCCUAGCUAAGGCAUUUAUGUUCAUUGUAUCACGGAAGUGGGGUUGCAGAAGUUUAUAUAUCGGAUGAAGAACACUCAACUGUCUGUUUGUAGCAAUUAUGAAUGGCUCUAUCACAGCAUGGGUGUUUAACCUGCAAACGAAGGCACAAGCAUUGAGGCAUGCGUUCUACAUCAGAACACAUUUUACCUUGUGCUACUAUAUAGCCUCAUUCUUGAAUCAUACCAGUGGCUAAUGAGCUGAUGGUAUCCAGAAUCAUUUACAGCGGCAUAAGCCUUGGCCAGCUGCCACACUGAGCCCUCAACGCCGUAUUCUGCUGGAGUGAAAACUUUGCUGACAGCACCAUGACGUUGCCCUUGCGGAUGUGGGAGACUUAAUUCAAUAGCCAAUGGCUUCAAUGUCCCAUCAUCUUGUAGUAAAAGGACUGUUCUCGUAGCAUAAGUCUUUGUGGUUGUUGAGUUUAUUUUUGUCAAGUAUGGCAUCAAUGCAUCAUGAUGAUCUAAUAUAAACAGUCUGUUACUUCUGAUUGCCUACAAAUGUAGAUAAGAAGUUAAAAAAAAAGGUGUUUCUUGAUUGUAAGAUUGGUUUUCAAGCACGAAUAAAGACAUGAAAGAAAAGGAGCGUGUUUAGUACUUGAUCUA
Long non-coding RNA from Hevea brasiliensis (rubber tree), 2032 nucleotides. RefSeq lists it as uncharacterized. The transcript is spliced from 2 exons. NCBI's taxonomy places the organism in Eukaryota, Viridiplantae, Streptophyta, Magnoliopsida, Malpighiales, Euphorbiaceae. The record is from RefSeq and is a predicted model, not a curated record.